UACAGAGGUCCCGAGCGUUGUUCGGAUUCACUGGGCGUAAAGGGUGCGUAGGUGGCGAUGUAAGUCUGAUGUGAAAGCUCAGGGCUCAACCCUGAAAUGGCAUUGGAUACUAUGUUGCUGGAGGAUUGGAGGGGAGACUGGAAUUCUCGGUGUAGCAGUGAAAUGCGUAGAUAUCGAGAGGAACACCGGUGGCGAAGGCGAGUCUCUGGACAAAUCCUGACACUGAGGCACGAAAGCUAGGGGAGCAAACAGGAUUAGAAACCCCCGUAGUCC
Molecule: ribosomal RNA, 273 nt
Filed under: uncultured bacterium
Lineage: Bacteria
Description: partial 16S ribosomal RNA
Rfam family: Bacterial small subunit ribosomal RNA
Source: RNAcentral